ACCAGGGAGGCCGGGGGGACUAGUUAGUGAAUCAUAAUGGUUGUAAUGUCAGCAGUUAGAUCCUUGUUUGUGUGUUGCAAGUGCUCAUGUCAUUCAUCAAAGCAUGUCUGGAUUGGUCAAACUGGUCGUGGGAUACAGGGUUGAAAAAGCUGUCCCACGGUCGAGAUUUACCGGGGAUGAUUCUGAUGGGAGGAUGGAGCCAACCUCAAAAUGGACCAGUUGGGGCAGAACCUACAAGUUUCCUGGAAUUACGGGUUAUCUGAAGUCAUCAUCAGUUGUUUCGAGAAUGCCGUGAUGUCACAACACGUUCAUAUGGUCCUCUAAACAAACAGUGGAACAAAUGAUGCCAAAUAGUCAAUCAGAAGGAAAAAGUACAAUGCUCAGUGAAAAUAAAAUCCAAGCCUAAAUGUUUAAGGAACCUACUGAUACACAGACGAUAGGAUGAAUAUGUGUCCGUCACAUAGUUACUUUUUUUCCAUACAUCGCUUUGUGACAAUAAUUGUGAGAGAGUAACAAUUUAUGCCGUCAUUGUUUCACCCGUAUUACCGGUUUUGCACAAUUACAAAACGUUGUCAGUACGAAUGGCUCAACAGAAAUUGAUAUUUUAUGUGUAUUGAAAACACUGCCUGCUUCCUUUGUUAUCGGUAAAGUCAUGCUUCAACACUUGUGAACGAUGUUGACAGCUGUUUGUUUGUCAGGUGGUGACGUUACUGUACAUGCAUAUGUGCAGGCCGGCGUGUUCACAGAAAUAUAAUCUAACGUACACAGGUCUUUCAGGUAAUGUACAAAUGAGUGCAGCCAUAACCAUAACCUCUUGGCAAAAGAAUGUACACAUCUCACAAUUUGAUUUUACCCAAAA
Molecule: long non-coding RNA, 859 nt
Organism: Haliotis rubra (blacklip abalone)
Lineage: Eukaryota; Metazoa; Mollusca; Gastropoda; Lepetellida; Haliotidae
Exons: 2
Source: RefSeq, a predicted model, not a curated record